ACAGUAAAAAAUUGGGUGUUAAUAUUUCAGAGUAAAGUUAUUUUAACCCAGAUAGAGUAUUUUCAACAUUUUUGAGAGUAAAGUUGCUCUAUCAGUGGAGUUAAAAGUGAGUGUAAAAAUCUGCAGAUACGCAGUGACAAUUUCAACUCUACAGCAGUGAUGAAUACCCGCCACUCUGCUUUGCUGAAGUUUGGCACGUACGUUGGUGGAGGAAGAUUGCGAAGGAGUAGCUAGGCCACAGAUAUUGCUAGAGGCAAAAUGCUGUUGCGUGUUCAGCUCGGGGAAGAGCAGAAAUACGUCAAGCUGUCUGAGCUGACAUUCAAUGCUUUCUUGAAAGAAGUGUGUCUAAAAUUCAACAUACCAGAAAGCAGAAAGCCAGACAUUAAGGUGUAUGACCAGUCUGACACAGAAGUUGACUCAGAUGUUUUUGAAGAAUUAGUAAAGGAGUCACCUGGAACUUUCAGAAUCAUGCUGGGCAAUGGACUUGGUAUUCAUUCAUUCAAUUAGUUUUUUAGUUUAAAGGCCAGAAUGAGAACCUUUAUUGUCUUAAAAAUAACAGUUUAUUGUAAUAUGUUUCUAUGUUUUGCACAAAUUUCAUAAUGAACAGAUACCUCUCAUUCAUCAUCAUGCUCGGGUACAUCUGAUGACACCAUCAUUCUGAAUUUCACUGUGUGUGACGAUGUUGAAGAAGUAGCGGCUGGCGAAGGAAGCCAGCCUAAAAGGCCAUGCCACAUAAACUAUGAGGCAAAAGCACUGAUUGAAAAAAUCCUAACAUCAAAGCCUGGUGGUGAACGCAUUAUGCAAGAGUAUGGAAAAACCAAAUCUCUGACAGAUGCCACCAGAAGACAGAUGAUCAACAUACUUGCUGCUGAGAUGACAGAAACACAUGGGACAUCCCCCCA
Coregonus clupeaformis (lake whitefish) is the source of this 902-nucleotide long non-coding RNA. RefSeq lists it as uncharacterized. The record is from RefSeq and is a predicted model, not a curated record. The transcript is spliced from 5 exons. Lineage: Eukaryota; Metazoa; Chordata; Actinopteri; Salmoniformes; Salmonidae.